AGCGAACGCUGGCGGCAGGCUUAACACAUGCAAGUCGAGCGGGCAUCCUUGUGGUGUCAGCGGCAGACGGGUGAGUAACGCGUGGGAACGUGCCCUUCGUUUCGGAAUAACUCAGGGAAACUUGAGCUAAUACCGGAUACGUGCGAGAGCAGAAAGGUUUAUCUGCCGAAGGAUCGGCCCGCGUCUGAUUAGCUAGUUGGUGAGGUUAUGGCUCACCAAGGCGACGAUCAGUAGCUGGUCUGAGAGGAUGAUCAGCCACACUGGGACUGAGACACGGCCCAGACUCCUACGGGAGGCAGCAGUGGGGAAUAUUGGACAAUGGGGGCAACCCUGAUCCAGCCAUGCCGCGUGAGUGAUGACGGCCUUAGGGUUGUAAAGCUCUUUUCUUCGGGACGAUAAUGACGGUACCGGAGGAAUAAGCCCCGGCUAACUUCGUG
Molecule: ribosomal RNA, 437 nt
Filed under: uncultured bacterium
Lineage: Bacteria
Description: partial 16S ribosomal RNA
Rfam family: Bacterial small subunit ribosomal RNA
Source: RNAcentral